This 898-nucleotide long non-coding RNA is filed under the name Marmota monax (woodchuck). The record is from RNAcentral. Lineage: Eukaryota; Metazoa; Chordata; Mammalia; Rodentia; Sciuridae.
GGCAGGGAUGAGCAGCGUGAGCUGGAGGCACAGGUGGUCCGUGUGACUGCAGGGCGCGAGCCAGGAGGAGGCCGGGGAGAUGAGCUGCAGAAGUCAGCCACAGAGGCAAUGGGAGCCAGGAUGGGGAGCUGGAUUUUAUUCUAAGAGUAAUAGGGAGCCAUUGAGAGUCUCAGCAGGAGGGCAUAUGAACCAACAUGAUUUGGUUUACAUUUCACAGCUCACUCUAGUUGCAGGAGUGCGCAUGGAUUAAGGAGGCCCAGGAGACACCGGAGACCAGGGAGGAAGCUGUUGCGAUUGCCCAGGAGGCCACGGUGGUGGAUGGGCACAGCCCAGCAAGGCGGGGAGCAGCCUCAGCCCUCCAGCCUGGCCGUGUGUGAUGGAUGCAGAGCUCUGGCUAACAGUGGGGACGGCUGCAUCUGGGAACUCUCUCACUCCCUGAACACAUCCACCUGGGCACCUUGUAGGAAGGAGAGGUGAUGGACCCUGUCCAAAAUACCAUCACAACACAGCCCUGCACGGCCCGAGUCCCCUGCCUGCCAGACACGUGCAACGGAGCGUUUGCCCCCUGCCUCCCUCUUCCGAGGACAGCCUCCACCCACGCUUGCUCGCAGCCAUGAGCAUGUUUGCUUUUGCUAAUUGAUAUAAAUGACCCUCCCUUCGCAGCCACGCAUGGGCGCCGAGCACGUCCCCGGUAAUGGGCUGCGGGAGGAAAAUUAAGUGCUCCAGUUUGCCAUCCUUCAAGAUGAAAAAUAGGAGGGAGAAAGUCACUCUGCAGAGCCAGAGGAGCUACGCGCAGCUGCAACCUGGGGAGGGGGAAGAGCCCAGGCUCCUGGGGGACAGUCCUGCACAGAGCCCGCACCUCCAGCAGGCAUCCUAGACACACAGUGUCCAAACAUUU